UUUAACACAUGCAGUCGAACGGAAACGAAAAUAGCUUGCUAUUUGGCGUCGAGUGGCGAACGGGUGAGUAACGCGUAGGAAUCUACCCAGUAGAGGGGGAUAGCCCGAAGAAAUUCGGAUUAAUACCGCAUAAUCUCUACGGAGUAAAGAAGGCCUCUUUACAAUGCUUUUACUAUUGGAUGAGCCUGCGUUAGAUUAGUUAGUUGGUAGGGUAAAAGCCUACCAAGGCGACGAUCUAUAGCUGGUUUUACGAGAAUGAUCAGCCACACUGGAACUGAGACACGGUCCAGACUCCUACGGGAGGCAGCAGUGAAGAAUAUUGGACAAUGGGGGAAACCCUGAUCCAGCAAUGUUGCGUGUGUGAAGAAGGUCCGAGGAUUGUAAAGCACUUUCAGUAAGCAAGAAAAAUGUAAAUCUAAUAGAUUUGCAUGUUGACCACUUAUAGAAGAAGCACCGGCUAACUCCGUGCCAGCAGCCGCGGUAAUACGGAGGGUGCGAGCGUUAAUCGGAAUUACUGGGCGUAAAGGGUAAGUAGGCGGUUUAUAAAGUCACAUGUGAAAGCCCUAGGCUUAAC
RNAcentral lists this ribosomal RNA (574 nucleotides) under uncultured bacterium. RNAcentral describes it as "bacterial SSU rRNA". It matches the Rfam family "Bacterial small subunit ribosomal RNA", at positions 47 to 613 of the family's 1533-position model. The record is from RNAcentral.